GCAAGCAUGGUAUAGUGGUUUGAACAUUGGAUUAUGACUCUGGAGAUUAGGGUUCGAUUGCCUGCUUGAG
Phrynosoma platyrhinos (Desert horned lizard) is the source of this 70-nucleotide non-coding RNA. Lineage: Eukaryota; Metazoa; Chordata; Lepidosauria; Squamata; Phrynosomatidae. The record is from the annotation of a GenBank genome assembly.